UCACACUAUUGUGUGAGCUGUACAGAUGUGCCUUCCUCUAAACCUAGUUAUGUUGUCAACACAUGACCCAUCUGAC
Molecule: small nucleolar RNA, 76 nt
Filed under: Marmota monax (woodchuck)
Lineage: Eukaryota; Metazoa; Chordata; Mammalia; Rodentia; Sciuridae
Source: RNAcentral